CCGGCUGCCUGGCGACGCCGACGAGGCGAUUCGCUCAAGCCCCGAUGGCGACAAGGACACGGGAAACAGCGCCGACGACGGCGACUGCGACGGCCUCUACUGGCUGCUUGAGCUACAGACGUUGGCCAUGCUCGGCCCUCCCCAGCCCGUCAGAUCACUGCUGUUGGACAGGAGUGCCGACGUCGUGACCAGCUGUCCGGGAGCACAGAUAGGAGCCCUCGUCUCCAGGUGGACCCGCGACGACUUAUCGGGACGGUGGAAGAGCUCGGGAAGUCUAAAGACUGCGUGCAAGCCAUGAUGAUUUCCAACGACGCUCUAGCUGGUGUGUCUCAGUAGAAACAGCAGGCACACUCCUUAGACAUGAGUAGCCAGUCAUAAGGGACGGUUGGUUGCGCCCACAGGAACGGGGUGGACGACGGGUGAGGUGGUUGGGGGAAGAUCACAGCCGCCGUUUGAAUUCGGCAUAAAUCUGCAAGUUAUAUAUGGUUGAUCGAGCUGAUACCAUAAAUAUUGAUGGUCUCUCAUACCCGAUCAGAAAUCCGUAGCUUUAUAACACUGAUAUUUUUUCCCGUUGUUAUGACAACGAAAAUAAGAGAGACCCCACGCGCCGUUUAUAGGCGCGCAGAAAGGACGCUUCACGUAAUAAUGUUGAUGCAAUACGUCGAUACAAGGUAUAAUUAUGCGGCUAUACAUGAGCCCCGCUUACGGGCUACGGUUCCACUGUAUAAUAAGUUAAUUAUAAUAAACUCGAAUUAGUAUUAUAAAUAGUCGAAUUUGUAAACAUAAAUAAGAAUAAUUAACUCUUAUUCACGCUGUAUAAAUACGUUUAAUGCACAAAUCAAAAUCAACUUGAACCUUGCAUUCUACGUACACCAACGAGGUGUUAUAUUUGUCGAUUCUUGUAUACCUAGAUAGAUCUUAUCGUAAUUACUAGCUUUAUUAACUCAUAGUCAUAUGAUUCAGCUGCCCGUUUAUGUACUAAUAUUUUUGUUUUUUAGGGGUGGCAGACUUUGAUGACCUGAGGGUCUUUCGCCACCCCAGUGCUAUAUCUAUCACAUUAUAUAUUGUGACCUUUCAUUCUAAUAUGUAUCGUUGUAUACUGAAUGUAAAUAUGUCUUAU
Molecule: long non-coding RNA, 1120 nt
Organism: Priapulus caudatus
Lineage: Eukaryota; Metazoa; Priapulida; Priapulimorpha; Priapulimorphida; Priapulidae
Exons: 3
Source: RefSeq, a predicted model, not a curated record